UUCCCAAAUUUUUGAGAACUCGAUAGCGGAAGCAACAAACAGUUCAAGGAGGAUCGAACCCUGCUCUUGAUGCCAUGUUAGAAUUAGAGAUACACAAAUAGGAAAAGAGAAAGACGGCUAGGGUUUCAAUAGAAUACCAAUAGCUUGACAUUACAAAAAGGUUACUAGAGAAUAUAUAAUAAAACCUAAUGGACUCUAAACUAACAG
This 207-nucleotide long non-coding RNA is filed under the name Trifolium pratense (red clover). RNAcentral's name for it is "long non-coding RNA (TPRA_LNC007773)". Lineage: Eukaryota; Viridiplantae; Streptophyta; Magnoliopsida; Fabales; Fabaceae. The record is from RNAcentral.